GUGCUUGGGAGAAGGUGCCAGUGGGAAGGGGUUAAGACCCUACGCUGGAUUCCAGUGAGAGCAGUUUGUUUCCAUAUUCCCAAUUUUAACAGGCUCGUUUACAAACCACCAGAACAAUCUUGAAAGCCCCCUCCCUACUUUCCAAACCCAAUUUGAAAAAGCAGGGGAGGAGACUUUUGGGAUUGGUGUUGGAGGUUUAUGCAUAAAUUUCAUACAUUUAGACAAGGAGCGCAGAGAGGCCCGUCGAGAGUCCGUCUCUCCCAGGCAUCGGCGUGGAGCAGCACACACAGCAAUAAUGAAUGUAGCAAAGAUUCAUGACAAAUGCUUGAUAAUGAAUUUCUGGGAGCAGAAAAUUGAGCAUCACUCUCAGAUGACCGAGAAUGAAGAGCUGAGGAUGAAAAAGAGCGCUUUGUCCCGGCUGAGGGAAGACUGGAGCUGCAGGCUGGAGAAGAGGACCAAGCACCUGCAGAGCCUCCACGAGGAGCGCAUCAAGAGAGCCAAACUAGUGUAGAUGACAGUAGAACUUUGUCCUACUGCGCCCGUUGACCUACUGUGAAUAAACCCCAUUUACCAC
This 574-nucleotide long non-coding RNA is filed under the name Scleropages formosus (Asian bonytongue). Its description in RNAcentral is "lncRNA (ENSSFOG00015025927.1)". The record is from RNAcentral. Lineage: Eukaryota; Metazoa; Chordata; Actinopteri; Osteoglossiformes; Osteoglossidae.